This is a long non-coding RNA of Mauremys reevesii (Reeves's turtle), 296 nucleotides long. RefSeq lists it as uncharacterized. The record is from RefSeq and is a predicted model, not a curated record. NCBI's taxonomy places the organism in Eukaryota, Metazoa, Chordata, Testudines, Geoemydidae. The transcript has 3 exons.
CAAUGAAAAGACUCUUCCUGCUUUACAACCAUUUCCCUGCAUAGACGAACUAUCGCAAGAAGGUGUGGAUACAACAGUACAUUGAGAGCCGAGAAGGAAGGACUGUGCUGGAGUACUAAUUCUGAACAUGGCACUAGGUCUUUCAUGAACCCAAGGAGCUGAUAUAUUUCCAGAAACCCACCCCAUGGUACAUGCUCAGGAUGUUGCUAAGAAGAAUGGAGAUAGUAAGUCUAAAUCAGGAUCUGGCAACGGACAUUCGUGCUCAUCUCCUGCGAGGAUGCGGAGGAAAUCCAGAC